This 433-nucleotide ribosomal RNA is filed under the name uncultured bacterium. RNAcentral describes it as "partial 16S ribosomal RNA". It matches the Rfam family "Bacterial small subunit ribosomal RNA", at positions 29 to 507 of the family's 1533-position model. The record is from RNAcentral.
AGCGAACGCUGGCGGCAGGCCUAACACAUGCAAGUCGAACGGAUCCUUCGGGAUUAGUGGCGGACGGGUGAGUAACACGUGGGAACGUGCCCUUUGGUUCGGAACAACUCAGGGAAACUUGAGCUAAUACCGGAUGUGCCCUUCGGGGGAAAGAUUUAUCGCCAUUGGAGCGGCCCGCGUCUGAUUAGCUAGUUGGUGAGGUAACGGCCCACCAAGGCGACGAUCAGUAGCUGGUCUGAGAGGAUGAUCAGCCACACUGGGACUGAGACACGGCCCAGACUCCUACGGGAGGCAGCAGUGGGGAAUCUUGCGCAAUGGGCGAAAGCCUGACGCAGCCAUGCCGCGUGAAUGAUGAAGGUCUUAGGAUUGUAUAAUUCUUUCAGCGGGGACGAUAAUGACGGUACCCGCAGAAGAAGCUCCGGCUAACUUCGUG